AGCGAGGCUAGAGUCACGCCUUGGCACUCCCCCGUUGUCCUGGUGUGCUAGAGUGCUCGCAGAGUAAAAGUCUUUUAUUAUUCGUUGGCUGUUGGUUUUAUGGUGACCCAGCCAAUCACAAACUCAAGACACAU
Dunckerocampus dactyliophorus (ringed pipefish) is the source of this 134-nucleotide small nucleolar RNA. RefSeq annotates it as small nucleolar RNA SNORA3/SNORA45 family. The transcript has a single exon. NCBI's taxonomy places the organism in Eukaryota, Metazoa, Chordata, Actinopteri, Syngnathiformes, Syngnathidae. The record is from RefSeq and is a predicted model, not a curated record.